This 254-nucleotide ribosomal RNA is filed under the name uncultured bacterium. RNAcentral's name for it is "partial 16S ribosomal RNA". It matches the Rfam family "Bacterial small subunit ribosomal RNA", at positions 526 to 779 of the family's 1533-position model. The record is from RNAcentral.
CGUAGGGGCGAGCGUUGUCCGGAAUUACUGGGCGUAAAGGGCGCGUAGGCGGCCUAAUAAGUCAGAUGUGAAAAUCCUGGGCUUAACUUAGGGCUUGCAUUUGAAACUGUUGGGCUUGAGGACAGGAGAGGAAAGCGGAAUUCCCAGUGUAGCGGUGAAAUGCGUAGAUAUUGGGAGGAACACCAGUGGCGAAGGCGGCUUUCUGGACUGCACCUGACGCUGAGGCGCGAAAGCCAGGGGAGCGAACGGGGAUU